GGGCACUUAGCUCAGUGGCAGAGCGCUGCACUCACAUUGCAGAGGUCGCUGGUUCAAAUCCAGCAGUGCCCA
This 72-nucleotide transfer RNA is filed under the name Parcubacteria group bacterium CG1_02_39_15. Its description in RNAcentral is "tRNA-Val". It matches the Rfam family "tRNA". From Rfam's summary of the family: Transfer RNA (tRNA) molecules are approximately 80 nucleotides in length. The record is from RNAcentral. RNAcentral also lists the same sequence under 4 other names.